GACGAACGCUGGCGGCGUGCCUAAUACAUGCAAGUCGAACGCUUCUUUCCUCCCAGGUUCUUGCUCUCAAUGGGAAGUAGGAGUGGCGGACGGGUGAGUAACACGUCUGUAACUUACCGAUGGAAGGGGGAGAAAACUUGAAGACAGUAGCUAAUACCGCCUAACAGUUUAUGCCGCAGGUCUUAAGAGUUAAAGGGGCUUUCGGAGGCGGUUUCGGGUUGGACCGUCGGUGCAUUAGCUAGUUGGCGGGGUAACGGCCCACCAAGGCGACGAUGCAUAGCUGAUCUGAGAGGAUGAUCGGCCACACUGGAACUGAGACACGGUCCAGACUCCUACGGGAGGCAGCAGUAGGGAAUAUUCGACAAUGGACGCAAGCCUGACCGAGCAACGCCGCGUGAGUGAAGAAGGUCUUCGGAUUGUAAAACUCUGUUGUUAGAGAAGAAAAACAGCGUUAGUAACUCACCCUGUUCUGACGGUAUCUAAACAGAAAGCCACGGCUAACUACGUG
This 508-nucleotide ribosomal RNA is filed under the name uncultured bacterium. RNAcentral's name for it is "partial 16S ribosomal RNA". It matches the Rfam family "Bacterial small subunit ribosomal RNA", at positions 28 to 507 of the family's 1533-position model. The record is from RNAcentral.